GUCUCACUUUGGCAGCACAUAUACUAAAAUUGGAAUGAUAGAGAGAAGAUUAGCAUGUCCCCUGCGCAACUAUGACAGGCAAAUUUGUGAAGUGUUCCAUAUUUUU
Molecule: small nuclear RNA, 106 nt
Organism: Cynocephalus volans (Philippine flying lemur)
Lineage: Eukaryota; Metazoa; Chordata; Mammalia; Dermoptera; Cynocephalidae
Source: RefSeq, a predicted model, not a curated record